Molecule: long non-coding RNA, 1834 nt
Organism: Cebus imitator (Panamanian white-faced capuchin)
Lineage: Eukaryota; Metazoa; Chordata; Mammalia; Primates; Cebidae
Exons: 2
Source: RefSeq, a predicted model, not a curated record
GUCUGGUGGUUUUCUGUUUGGUCUUCCUGCUGGAGCGAGGUCUGCACCUGUGUCAGUCCCUGUCUGUGUCUGGAUGGCUCACUGUCCAAAUCUUCAGGCUCACAUAAAAGGAGAAAGGCGAGAACGGAUACAUUUUAGAUGCCUUUAAAGGGGUGGGAUAGGGGUGAACAUGGAAAGCACCGAGAAGUCCUGAGAAGCCAGGACUUGAAAAUUAGAAAGAGGAAGAGAAACUCACAGAUCACGCUGAGGCUGAGAAGGAGCAGCCCAUCAAGCACUAUAGGAGACACUGAGUGUGAAAAACACACUUGAAGUGUUUUUUUCUAUUCUCUUAUCAAAAAUAAUCAACACAGAAGAAUUCUGUGACCCACUAUGUGAGGAUUUCUUCCUACCAGCAAGCAUGGAAUCAACUCUGUAGCAGUUAUCAACAGGUUGUGCUCCAAUCCAACUCCAUUCUGACCAUGUCUAUCUGGAGGUAGCAUCAGAUCCCACCGUUUGAGGGCUCCGUCCUUAAACCUGCCCCUUGUUUUCAAUGUCUGUCAAAAGCCCAGGUUGGGAUGGGACUGAGUCACCCAUCUAAUCCUGCUGUGGUCUUUCAGGUGACCAGCCCCCUUCCUGAAGCAACGUAGGGGCUGCCAGCCAUUAGUCAACUCAUGAGCAUCCAAAAAGAUAUCACUUUGUAGACUCCAGGGAUUUUAGGAUUUAUAUGCCAGGAAGUGGGACAAAGACCAAAUAUAUGCUUCACAAUAGCACAGAGACCAAAAGAGCAGGUGUCCUAAAGACCCAGAGAAGAAAGUCUUUAGAGGAGGCAACAGUCAUCAAGACUGGGACACUGACCCCUGGAUUUAGCAACAAACAGGUCCGGUAUCUGGACAAGAGCAGACUGAGAAGACUGGGAAGAAUGAAGGCCUAGUCAGGGUGGGUUUAUGGGAUGAUGGAAGGAGAUAAGUGGAGUGGGCAGCUGUCAGUCAUAACUAGCCUCAGGAAUGCAGCUGAGGGAAGCAAAGAAAAGACACGGCAGUGGGAAGAGCUCACAGGAUUGGGAGGGUUUGUUGUUAUUGUACUGUCAUUAUUGCUGUGAGGAAGAGAGCGCUUGCUGUCCAUUUAUUCAGCAGGGAGGGAGAAGCCAAUGACAGGACAGAUCGAAGGAUGUUGUCCUGGAAACAGAGAGGCAGGCCAACUGGGGAUUUCACAGGACGAUGUGCGGGACUUCUGAUGCUUCUUUUUUUCUUAGGGAAAUUCAGAAUAAGGACAAGAGCUGAGAGUGAAAGACGGAAGGGUCUCUCUGUGUGUCCCGCAGGGCCUAUCCUAUUCCUCCAGCCCCAGGAAGCCAAACCUUGCCACGGCCCCUCCUCCUUCAGGACUGUUUCUUUGCUUCUCCCUUUCCUGAAAAUCAAGUCUUUAUGGGUUGAGUCUUUACCACUUGGUCAUUUCCAGAAAGUCCCCUUCUUGCUAAUUUGCAAAUGGCUGCUGUCUACUUUAUGUGUUAACAGGAUUUAUGCUUGAUGUGGCAAAUAUCUUUCUGUCCUGUGCUGUCAUGAUGUGUCUUUAGAGGAAGACUUCAUUCAACUCAAUAUCCCAAAUCAGAAAGUUUUCAUUGAGUGCCAUGGAUGGGCCCCACACUUCUAGCCCAGAGUCCCAGCUAACCGAAGGUGCUCCCACCCAGCACCAUCAGGUCUUUUAUGCAGCACAGGUAAAUGCCCCUGGGAGCAGCAACUGUCACUGACAUUCUCUCCUGCACUUUACCACUCAACCAACACAUGCCCUUGACACCUGGGUGUCAGGAACAGUCACAGUAGCCCCCAUUGCGCUUGGAGGGUCAUUGCUUUGAGGCAAA